UUUAGGUGGACAUGGAGUUAGUAGUCUUUAUUGCAGUGGAAGGAGAGGAGGCACUCCCAAGGAUUGCAAGAGCCGGCUGAGUGAGAGCUACCACCCUAAAGCUAUAAGAGAUUUAGAGGCUGGUUAGGCUCUGCCUCCUCCCUGUCUCUUGCUCUCCCACUGUCUCCCCUUCAAGUGUAGAUGGUUUUCUUGUUCCCAUGGCUGCUGUUCACUAAGCUAAUGGUUUCCUAACUAUUUUGGCGGUGGAUAAUCCUAUUCUUGGCCCUGGAUACGGUGGAAUGAACACCAUUUAGAAGAAUCGCCAGCUAUGCAUAUGUGGGUGUUGCGCCG
Molecule: unclassified non-coding RNA, 330 nt
Filed under: Hevea brasiliensis (rubber tree)
Lineage: Eukaryota; Viridiplantae; Streptophyta; Magnoliopsida; Malpighiales; Euphorbiaceae
Source: RNAcentral